AACGAACGCUGGCGGCAUGCCUAACACAUGCAAGUCGAACGAGACCUUCGGGUCUAGUGGCGAACGGGUGCGUAACGCGUGGGAACCUGCCCUUAGGUUCGGAAUAACUCCCCGAAAGGGGUGCUAAUACCGGAUAAUGUCUUCGGACCAAAGAUUUAUCGCCUUUGGAUGGGCCCGCGUUGGAUUAGCUAGUUGGUAGGGUAAAAGCCUACCAAGGCGACGAUCGAUAGCUGGUCUGAGAGGAUGAUCAGCCACACUGGGACUGAGACACGGCCCAGACUCCUACGGGAGGCAGCAGUGGGGAAUAUUGGACAAUGGGCGAAAGCCUGAUCCAGCAAUGCCGCGUGAGUGAUGAAGGCCUUAGGGUUGUAAAGCUCUUUUACCCGGGAUGAUAAUGACAGUACCGGAAGAAUAAGCUCCGGCUAACUCCGUG
RNAcentral lists this ribosomal RNA (433 nucleotides) under uncultured bacterium. RNAcentral describes it as "partial 16S ribosomal RNA". It matches the Rfam family "Bacterial small subunit ribosomal RNA", at positions 29 to 507 of the family's 1533-position model. The record is from RNAcentral.